AGGACGAACGCUGGCGGCGUGCUUAACACAUGCAAGUGGAGCGACGAACCAGGCUUCGGCCUGGGGCAGAGCCGCGAACGGGUGAGUAACACGUGGGUAACCUGCCUCGAUGACCGGGACAACCCGGGGAAACCCGGGCUAAUACCGGAUGUGCUCCUUCACAUCAGUGAAGACAGGAAAGGAAGCUUCGGCCUCCGCAUCGAGAUGGGCCCGCGGCCCAUUAGCUUGUUGGUGAGGUAACGGCUCACCAAGGCUGCGAUGGGUAGCUGGUCUGAGAGGACGAUCAGCCACACUGGGACUGAGACACGGCCCAGACUCCUACGGGAGGCAGCAGUGGGGAAUUUUCCGCAAUGGGCGAAAGCCUGACGGAGCAAUACCGCGUGAGGAUGACGGCCUAUGGUUGUAACCUCUUUUUCAGGAGGAAUAAAUGACGUGUACCUGAAGAAUAAGCAUCGGCUAACUCCGUGCCAGCAGCCGC
Molecule: ribosomal RNA, 478 nt
Filed under: uncultured bacterium
Lineage: Bacteria
Description: SSU rRNA
Rfam family: Bacterial small subunit ribosomal RNA
Source: RNAcentral